UCUCCCCUGAGGCCAGUCACAUGGGGCCAUCCUGGGACGGGGUCAUCCUGGGCUUGAUGCUCUGUUCUUGCCACCUUGGAAGUCUUCACACUUGUUUUUUUUAACGAGUGGUCUUGCCUUUUCAUUCUGCACUUUACCUGGUCCUGCCUGCCAGGGGAGAGGGAGGCAAGCGGAGCAACCUGAGCACAUGUUGUUGAAACGCAAAUCAUGCAGUACGUAGAGUAAUCUUUUCAUGCGGCCAGUUGGCGAACCAUGGACUGGGAGGAGGUUGUGGAAUUACCUUUCUUUGAAGAGUUUUGAAAAUAGUAUAAAGCCUCACUCUUCUGCUACGCUUAAAUGUGUGGUUCUGCCAAAAGACGGGGAGAUGGGCAUUCUUCUUGAGGUACCUGCCUGCCUCUCUACAAAUCCUUUGUGAAAACAGAGAACUACAAGGAAUUUUGUGACUCAACCAUUUCCCCCUUUUUAAGGAGUGCAUUGCAGAGAAACUUAGCGAGAACCUGAAAUGAUCCUUAGAGACACAAGAGAGUCUCCUGCCCAGCACCCUCUGCCUGCUUCCUCAGGGCACAUGGAGAGCUUGCCAGGGCUGCCAUAGAUGUCAUCCAGGAGCGGCUGAAGGAUGGACCCACCCUGAAGACUCAAAAAGGAAUUCAUCAAGAAGCUGAUUCUGUCCUUCACAAAAUGUCUGGAUGGCAUUCAAGCAACCAAUUCCUGGAGCAAUGGGUGUGGAUUAUAUGAUGCUAACUUCAAUCCAGAGGAUCUAGAACUGAACCAAACCUGUGAAUCAUUCAACAAACACUUACUGGAUACUGAUUAAGUGCAAGUCACCUGUGGAGAAUUCAAGAUGGCUGCAAAUACUUGUACCUACCUUCCAUUGAGAAGCGGGGUCUUUGCCCCCAUCCUUGAAUCUGGGCAGCCUUUGGGACUGCUUUGAGCAAUAGAAUAUGGCAGAAGUGUUGCUGUACCAGUUUUGAGGCCCAGACCUCCAAGAAACAAACAACUUGAGCUUUCCAACUUCCUGUCUCUCAGGAUGCUCUCUCUGGGAGCUUUGAGCUGCCAUAUAAGAAGUCCGACUUCUGUGCCCACCACAUUGGCGAGGCCACGGGCAGGCAAUCUGGUCAACAGUCCCAGCUGAGCCCAGGCUCCUAGCCAGCCCUGCCAAGGUGCCAGACACGUCAGUGAGGCCUCCUGGAAUCCUCCAGUAACAGGACUUUGAAUAUUAAUUGGAUAUACAGAGGCACAGACUGAAGACUACACUUUCCAGCCUCCCAUGCAGCUGGAUGGAGCCAUACAACCAAGUUUCGGCCAAAGGAAAGAACGUGGCUCAGAUGGAUGUGCCAGAGGAAAUGCACCAGGAAAUCCCGAGCAGGGUGCAAUCAGUCACCAUUAAUGCUCACAAGUAUCAAAGCUACUUGAAGAAAUACAGCUACUUAUGGAUGGAUGAUAAAAUUGAAUUCACGAAGCAGUUCCUUCUCCAUGAGUGAUUUCUUAGUGCUGAAAAACUAGAAUUGCAUGUGGACUAUGAGUGUCAGAACUCCACACUGCAGUUAGCACACUUUACAGAACACGUAUUGAAUUUUAGCUGAGUCUAGCAUCAUCUUUUUCAACUCCCAGGACAGCUGUUAAAUCAUAAAAUAUUUUGAGAUAUAAAGCUCUUGCCUCUGAGAGAUCUUUCCUUUUUUUCCCCUUUUCCUUUAAGAUCAACAUCUAUGAAAUAUUAUGUGAAGGAAUUGAUAACUUUAAAAAUCAGAAGAUAUUUAGUGGCUAGCUUCAACUUGAUACUUUUAAAAAUCCAUGAUGAAUGUUACAAAAAAUGAGAUUUGAUGUUUAAGGAGCAUCUGCUUAACCAUUGUAACCUGUAGGUAGAGUAAUUUGAAUCUGAUUGUGAAAGGAAAUUAAAAUAACACAAAUCAUUUGAUGAAACUAUCCUCAUAGAAUUCUAAUUUAACUCAAAUAAUAAGUAUUUUAAUGGUUCUCCUAUGUGCUUAUUUUUAAUGUCGUAUUCUGUAAGUUACAAGAGAGUUGCUUUCAUGCAUGUGAAAUGCAAUUCUCUUCUUGCAAAAACUUGACACAAUGCUUAUCCAUUUGAUUUGAUUGCAUUUACGUGUUCAUUAAUAUAAUUGAAACAUGUAGCUUCCCCCAAGUUUUCACAGGCUCAUCCCUAAUUAACUGUUGGCAUUUUCUCAUAUUAUAUGUUAGUAUAACUGAGUUAGGGCAAUUUAUUGAUGAAAUAGGGAAAGAUUGAGCAGAGGACGUGAAGUGGGAAUUCAGCCCAUUGAGUACUGAUUGGGGGACUGUGGGCAGCUGGACCAUGCCAGGCAAUAGCCCUAAAAUCUCUGCUAUUUUAACUGCUUUACUAAAGCAUCCAGAAGAGAUUUAUAUGGGCAUAAGUGAUAGGGACUCAAGAGAGAGAGGUUAUCUCCAGGAGAUAGUAUUACUUUCCCCCAACUGGGCCCUGAACCACAAGUCAAAGGAGACUCAUGGUCUUCUAAGUAUGUUCUGUGUAUUUACAGGGUAUUUAAAAAAGUUUUAAAGAUUUAAUAGAACAGUCUGUGAACUUGGAAGGAGAAAAGAGAGCUUCUAAUCCUUGCUCAGCACUUUUGAGCACUGUGAUCUUGCUUGAGUGAGUUAGCCUGAGCGCAUUUCUUCACAGUGCCCUUGUGGGGUCUAAAUGCAAUACUUAUACAGGCUGCCUUGAUGUAGCCAACCAGUAUAUGUUUAUUGAAAUAUGAGGCUUUUAACCUUUUUUCUUUUCUUUUCUUUUUUUUUGUUUUUGAGAAGGAGUCUCGCUCUGUCGCCCAGGCUGGAGUGCAGAGGCGUGAUCUCGGCUCACUGCAAGCUCUGCCUCCUGUGUUCACGCCAUUCUCCUGCCUCAGCCUCCCGAGUAGCUGGGACUACAGGCGCCUGCCACCACGCCCGGCUAAUUUUUUGUAUUUUUAGUAGAGAUGGGGUUUCACUGUGUUAGCCAGGAUGGUCUUGAUCUCCUGACCUCAUGAUCCACCUGCCUCAGCCUCCCAAAGUGCUGGGAUUACAGGCAUGAGCCACCACGCCCGGCCCUUAACCUUUUUUUAAAUCAAGGAUAGGAAAUGAAAUCCACAAAGGAGGUGGUCAAUAAAAUAAGCAAAGGAGAUUUAAAUGGAGAUAACUUUUCAAAUUAAGAGUUUAAAGUCUUAUUUUUUUGUCCUUUACAGAUUAAUGUGAGGAUAUCUGACUAAAAGAAUUAAGAAACCCCUACCUUUAUUAUUUAUUUAUUUUUUGAGAUGGAGACUUGCUCUGACACCCAAGCUGGAGUGCAGUGGUGUGAUCUCGGCUUACUGCAGUCUACACUUCCCGAGUUCAAGCGAUUCUCCUGCCUCAGCCUCUUGAGUAGCUGGGAUUACAGGUGCCCGCCACCACGCCUGGCCAAUUUUUUUGUUGUUGUAUUUUUAGUAGAGACGGGGUUUCACCAUGUUGGCCAGGGUGGUCUCGAACUCCUGACCGCAAGUGAUCUGCCCACCUUGGCCUCCCAAAGUGCUGAGAUUACAGGUGUGAACCACUGUGCCCGGCCCCUAC
This 3549-nucleotide long non-coding RNA is filed under the name Homo sapiens (human). Its description in RNAcentral is "HSALNT0043289". The record is from RNAcentral. Lineage: Eukaryota; Metazoa; Chordata; Mammalia; Primates; Hominidae.